UCCAGCUCCAAUAGCGUAUAUUAAAGUUGUUGCAGUUAAAAAGCUCGUAGUCGGAUUUCGGGUCGGGCCGAGCGGUCUGCCGAUGGGUAUGCACUGUUUGGCGCGGCCUUCUUUCCGGAGACCGCGGCUACUCUUAACUGAGCGGGCGUGGGAGACGGAUCGUUUACUUUGAAAAAAUCAGAGUGUUUCUAGCAGGCAGCUCGCUCUUGCAUAGGUUAGCAUGGGAUAAUUUAAUAGGACUCUGGUGCUAUUUUGUUGGUUUCGAACACCGGAGUAAUGAUUAAAAGGGGCAGUCAGGGGCACUCGUAUUCCGUCGAGAGAGGUGAAAUUCUCAGACCAAUGGAAGACGAACCACUGCGAAAGCAUUUGCCAGGGAUGUUUUCACUGAUCAAGAACGAAAGUUAGGGGAUCGAAGACGAUCAGAUACCGUCGUAGUCUUAACCAUAAACCAUGCCGACUAGGGAUUGGAGGGUGUUCGUUUCGACCUCUUCAGCACCUUACGGGAAACUAAAGUCUUUGGGUUCCGGGGGGAGUAUGGUCGCAAGGCUGAAACUUAAAGGAAUUGACGGAAGGGCACCACCAGGAGUGGAGCCUGCGGCUUAAUUUGACUCAACACGGGGAAACUUACCAGGUCCAGACAUUGUUAGGAUUGACAGAUUGAGAGCUCUUUCUUGAUUCGAUGGGUGGUGGUGCAUGGCCGUUCUUAGUUGGUGGAGUGAUUUGUCUGGUUAAUUCCGUUAACGAACGAGACCGUAGCCUGCUAAAUAGUUCCGCGAACUUCUUGUUGGCGGUCGACUUCUUAGAGGGACAACUUGUGACCAACAAGUGGAAGUUUGCGGCAAUAAC
RNAcentral lists this ribosomal RNA (846 nucleotides) under uncultured eukaryote. RNAcentral's name for it is "SSU rRNA". It matches the Rfam family "Eukaryotic small subunit ribosomal RNA", at positions 584 to 1457 of the family's 1831-position model. The record is from RNAcentral.